Molecule: ribosomal RNA, 253 nt
Filed under: uncultured bacterium
Lineage: Bacteria
Description: partial 16S ribosomal RNA
Rfam family: Bacterial small subunit ribosomal RNA
Source: RNAcentral
UACGUAGGGUGCAAGCGUUGUCCGGAAUUAUUGGGCGUAAAGGGCUCGUAGGCGGUCCAUCGCGUCGGGAGUGAAAAGCUGGGGCUUAACCCCAGUCCUGCUUCCGAUACGGGUGGACUAGAGUGUGGUAGGGGAGACUGGAAUUCCUGGUGUAGCGGUGAAAUGCGCAGAUAUCAGGAGGAACACCGAUGGCGAAGGCAGGUCUCUGGGCCAUAACUGACGCUGAGAAGCGAAAGCAUGGGGAGCGAACAGG